GAUGAACGCUAGCUACAGGCUUAACACAUGCAAGUCGAGGGGCAGCACAGUGUAGCAAUACGAUGGGGUGGCCGACCGGCGCACGGGUGCGUAACGCGUAUCCAACCUUCCCGUUACUCUUGGAUAGCCUUCCGAAAGGGAGAUUAAUACAAGAUGGUAUUCAAAUUCCGCAUGUUAUUUGAAUUAAAGAUUUAUCGGUAACGGAUGGGGAUGCGUGACAUUAGAUAGUAGGCGGGGUAACGGCCCACCUAGUCUACGAUGUCUAGGGGGUUCUGAGAGGAAGGUCCCCCCACACUGGAACUGAGACACGGUCCAGACUCCUACAGGAGGCAGCAGUGAGGAAUAUUGGUCAAUGGUCGGAAGACUGAACCAGCCAAGUAGCGUGAAGGAUGAAGGUUCUAUGGAUUGUAAACUUCUUUUAUACGGGAAUAAAACCUCCCACGUGUGGGAGCUUGUAUGUACCGUAUGAAUAAGCAUCGGCUAACUCCGUG
Molecule: ribosomal RNA, 491 nt
Filed under: uncultured bacterium
Lineage: Bacteria
Description: bacterial SSU rRNA
Rfam family: Bacterial small subunit ribosomal RNA
Source: RNAcentral